Molecule: long non-coding RNA, 669 nt
Filed under: Monodelphis domestica (gray short-tailed opossum)
Lineage: Eukaryota; Metazoa; Chordata; Mammalia; Didelphimorphia; Didelphidae
Description: lncRNA (ENSMODG00000038787.1)
Source: RNAcentral
CAUUCAUUCAUUAAUUAAUUCUUCAAAUAUUCAGGUGAUAACUGCUAUAUAGAACACACUAUGCCAGAUACAGGGAGGACACUAAAGGAUUAAUGGUACCAGAUCCCUGAUCAUGAAUUUACAAUCUGACUUGCAAAACAGACCCUCUGAAGCUUUCCUGCCUGCAGUUACUUUGGCACAGAGUUCUCCAGCCACCAGAUCAUGGCUGAAAUCAUGGCAAAUCAAUCCUCUUCUUAGAUGCAGAUUUGGGACAUAUGAGGAAGAGGAUGUGAUGACCCCUCCAUAUUGGACUUGGAAACUAGAGUCAAUCUUUGGUGCUAACAGCCUCCCCCUUUCUCAAGAAGUCAGACAACAUGGUAUAGACUGUGCAUAUAUUAUCAUAUUAUACAUAUUUCCCUGUUUAUUGGGUUCUGAAACAAGAUAUAUUGCUUACACUAGACAAAAAUUCAUGGAAGAAAUAAAGUGAAGAGUGGUAUAUUUCAAUAUGGUUCCUUUUAUGAUAGAAGAUAGCCUCUUUCCUUGUGAGUCAUGUGAAGUCCUGUGUCCUUGCCUUGUUGGUAAUACUUAAGUCAUUCAUAUUUUGUCAUCAUGAGCUACUUUUGUAAUUGUAUGCAAUGCUGUCUUGGUUCUCCCCACUUCACUCUGGAUCACUAAAACUUUCCAGGUUUU